This 429-nucleotide ribosomal RNA is filed under the name Chloroflexota bacterium. RNAcentral describes it as "Chloroflexi bacterium partial 16S ribosomal RNA". It matches the Rfam family "Bacterial small subunit ribosomal RNA", at positions 355 to 776 of the family's 1533-position model. Lineage: Bacteria; Bacillati; Chloroflexota. The record is from RNAcentral.
UGGGGAAUAUUGCACAAUGGGCGCAAGCCUGAUGCAGCCAUGCCGCGUGUAUGAAGAAGGCCUUCGGGUUGUAAAGUACUUUCAGCGGGGAGGAAGGGAGUAAAGUUAAUACCUUUGCUCAUUGACGUUACCCGCAGAAGAAGCACCGGCUAACUCCGUGCCAGCAGCCGCGGUAAUACGGAGGGUGCAAGCGUUAAUCGGAAUUACUGGGCGUAAAGCGCACGCAGGCGGUUUGUUAAGUCAGAUGUGAAAUCCUCGGGCUCAACCUGGAAACUGCAUCUAAUACUGGCAAGCUUGAGUCUCGUAGAGGGGGGUAGAAUUCCAGGUGUAGCGGUGAAAUGCGUAGAGAUCUGGAGGAAUACCGGUGGCGAAGGCGGCCCCCUGAACGAAGACUGACGCUAAGGUGCGAAAGCGUGGGGAGCAAACAGG